This is a non-coding RNA of Pelobates cultripes (western spadefoot toad), 227 nucleotides long. Lineage: Eukaryota; Metazoa; Chordata; Amphibia; Anura; Pelobatidae. The record is from the annotation of a GenBank genome assembly.
CUCAGUGGGCUAAUAUUUCAUCAGAAGAAUCUGUUUGUCCCUUGGUAAAUAAAAUGCAUGCCAUUAAAUUGGGUAAAAGUAACAUCCCUAUGAUAUACUUGGAAACCAGAAAAUAUCUAAAUGUCUCUUUCCUGGUUCAAGAUUUUGCAAUAAUUAUUUCUAGUGCCUUUUAAUACAACUGCUGGGUUCACUUAUUCUAUGUGCUUUUUAAUUGCAUUAUUAUAUUC